GCCUGACCUUGGGCAGUUAGGAAUAAGUGGCUCCUUGAUAACAACAAGAGGGCAGAAAGGACAGGACCGUCUGAGACACCCACUUCCUGGGACAAUCCGCCGGGGACCAUAUCCAGGUUCAGCAGCUGCACGGUUACUCCCCCUCAAAAUGUCCCGCCACUGUAACCCAUAGAAGCCCUCCCCUCGGAUGCCCUAGUGGCUUUCUCCUUAAGGAGCCCCUCCGGGGUGGCGAGAGUCUCUUUGUUUCGUCCUCGCCCAAAUAAACCUGGUGCCUGUGCUGCUCUUAACCUUGCUGAUCGGUUCCAUUUUUGAGAACACAAUCCCGGCUUUAAAAAACGGUUACAGCUUUGAAGGCUCCUUGGAGAUCUCCACGUCUUCUAACGCCUCUCCCUUCGGGAAAUGAGUGGAGAAGCCCAGGACUGAUCUCCCGGAAAUCUUCCCAGGAGUGAUCCGGGAGACUUCCAAGGGGUCCUACUCACAGGUUUCCCAAACUACAGUGGAAGGUGGCUACUUGCUUCCGAUUCUGACACUCUGGCGUGGCUCAUCUCCCCGGUCCGCAUUUUCUACCUCUCAUCUUCAAACUCCUCUUGUGGAGCUUAUAGCCCUCACCCGGGCCCUGGAGCUUUAGUGAAGCUCCUCUCUUUUGGGAACCCCCUUACAACCCAUGAAGCCCCAAUACAGCGACAAAGAAACCAUGAGAGCCCUGUCCUGGCGAUUUACCCUCUUGCCCUCAGGAUGGCUACAGGAUGAACAGGGGAAGAUCUUGUUGCCCACCGCUACCAGAUGAAAACUGCUUAAAACCUUCCAUCAAUCAUCCACCUGGAAAGAGACGGGACACUUCAGUGGAUGUAGGGCACUACAAGAAAAUGAAAAUACCACACAGCGCAUACAAGGAGGACCUCUAUUUGAGCCCGGGCAUCCAGUUCUAGUUCAAUCUCUUCCUCCUCCUUCCCCCUCUCUUCGGCCUUCCUGAGAGGACCCCUGCCCGGUGAUCCUCUCCACCCCUUCUGCUGGUAAGAUUUCAGGAGGAGAUGCUUGGAUUCACCACACUCGUCUAAAGCCCUGGCGAGCUCCAGAUGAUCCUCAGAAGGAAGGAGACAAGUACAUUUGUGAGCCUAUUGAAGACCUACAAUUCCUCUUCAAGAAGUGCAGAGAAGUGCUCCGCCCCUUAAACGUCUCAUAACAACACCAUGACCCCUAGGGCUUUAAUAUUUCUAUAUCUCACACAAUUAUGGUGCCAGCCGCCACGGGGAAUCCUCGAGUGGGUUCCAUUAAUUGCCGCUGCCUUUAUCUUAACUGACUGCUGGAUCUGUGGGAAGGAUUCUUUAGGCACAGUCGUCCCAGCCCCCACGUCUGUGUGGCUCUGAGCCAAUGACACUGUCACCCCCUUCAUCUCCUCUACCAGUCCUUUCCCCGGCGCUCACAUUGAAUGGCUGUUCUUCAAAGCCUGGAAGGAGGAUACGGAAACUAAAAGGAACAACACCCCUUGGUCCAGUGGUACCCUCGCCCGGUUGGACCGACUCCACCUCAACGCCAGUGCCGUCUUCCCAAUCUGCUUUGAAAAUUCAACGUCCAUCCCACACACAGGUCUCUUCACAGGUAAUCUCCCCACAUCUCAAUGUAAUCUCACAUCCCAAGUCACUAGAGCCUCUGCGGAAGGAGACCUGGAACUCUUCCCGCUGUAGUUCUCUCAGUGCAUGUAAGAACACUGAUAAAUAUCACCUUUUCCUUGACGUUUCCUCCGAGCCCAGUAUCCCCCAAAGCGCACAACCUCCUGCACCGCAGGCAAUGUCCGUGUAGCCAGAAGGUCUACCGUCUCUUAUAAUUCAUCAAAUUUAAGUCUGGCGUCCACACCACUCCUCUCGUCCCAAGAAUUCUUCCUCAAAACAUAUCCCUCCAGCUUCCUUGCAUCCACCAUACGGGAAAGACUCAGACGCCUCCCUAAUUUGGAGCAGAUUGUCAGGGGGCCCCCCUGCAACAAGUAGACCCCAAGCCCUCUUUACUUACGACUUCCACGUAAACCUCCGGGUGGAAGAGGGUUUGUUCUGUGGAACCAGGGAGUACAUCACGCUGCCGCCCUUAUGGAGAGGGCGGUGCUUCCUCGCUUUCAUAGCUCCCCCAGCUGAUGAUGCGCCUGGUUCCAGCAGCAUGCUGCAGGUUCUAAAUGAUCCUUGACCAGGGUCCGAAGGGUGGCUAUGGCUCCCCUUCUGGUCUCUUUGUUCACUGGAUUGUCGGGAGCGUCUGGAACAGCCCUAGGAGGCACCUCCGUAGACCUCUCAGCACAACUGACCAAGACAUUGAGGGAGACCAUCAAGGGGAUACAAACACCCGCAGAGCAGGUGAACUCCUUGGCAGGAGUCACACUUCAAAACCGACAGGCCUAUGGGGCACCUGGGUGGCUCAGUCGGUUAAGCAUCUGACUUCGGCUCAGGUCGUGAUCUCACGGUUCAUGGGUUUGAGCCCCACCUCAGGCUCUGUGCUGACAGCUCAGAGCCUGGAGCCU
Prionailurus viverrinus (fishing cat) is the source of this 2503-nucleotide long non-coding RNA. RefSeq lists it as uncharacterized. The transcript is spliced from 4 exons. Lineage: Eukaryota; Metazoa; Chordata; Mammalia; Carnivora; Felidae. The record is from RefSeq and is a predicted model, not a curated record.